This is a long non-coding RNA of Salvia splendens (bonfire salvia), 690 nucleotides long. RefSeq lists it as uncharacterized. The transcript has 2 exons. Lineage: Eukaryota; Viridiplantae; Streptophyta; Magnoliopsida; Lamiales; Lamiaceae. The record is from RefSeq and is a predicted model, not a curated record.
UCCAUUUUCCAAAAAAAUGUGUAAAAUAUGACUAGAACAUGGGCAUUGCACCAAAUAUCGAUCGAAACGUGGCGAGUGAAAUUGUGCUCGAAAUGUGGACAUCUUCUUCUGACCCCAAAACCAUGGAACAAGUCUGGAAAGACAUAACCCUCGCCCCCUCCCAUCUCCACCUCACCACCGCCGCCGCCGGAAAGAAGAGGUUACAGGGUUUCGACAUCACUUCCGCCGACGACCGCCACCAUAAGCGCAUGAUCAAGAACCGCGAGUCUGCUGCUCGCUCCAGAGCUAGAAAGCAGGAAAGUGGAAACCCUCUCUCUCUUUAUAGAAUUUUAUACUCCUACUACUAUUAAAAAAAAUUAAUCUUUGUGAAAUUUAAAAGUAAUCUUGCAAGAAAUUAUUUGCAGGCUUAUACUACUGAGUUGGAGUUGGAAGUAGCCCAUUUGCUUCAAGAGAAUGCCAUGCUCAGAAAGCAGCAACUACAGUUUUAUAGAGAAGAAGCAGCUGCUGAGGACCACAAAAGGAAGCCUCUCCAUAGAACUUCAACUGCUCCAUUUUGAUUAAAUCACUUCAAUUAUAGUAUGUUGUAUUUUUAUGUCAAGAUGUUACAAUGGAUUUUCUUUGGAGGGUCAUUUUUCUCUUUUGUUGGAAUCCAUAACCAAGAUAUGAAUAUAUCUUACUUUUUCAAUGCUA